This 253-nucleotide ribosomal RNA is filed under the name uncultured bacterium. RNAcentral describes it as "partial 16S ribosomal RNA". It matches the Rfam family "Bacterial small subunit ribosomal RNA", at positions 524 to 776 of the family's 1533-position model. The record is from RNAcentral.
UACGUAGGGGGCAAGCGUUGUCCGGAAUCAUUGGGCGUAAAGCGCGUGUAGGCGGUCCGGUAAGUCCGCUGUGAAAGUCGGGGGCUCAACCCUCGGAUGCCGGUGGAUACUGUCGGGCUUGAGUACGGAAGAGGCGAGUGGAAUUCCUGGUGUAGCGGUGAAAUGCGCAGAUAUCAGGAGGAACACCAAUUGCGAAGGCAGCUCGCUGGGACGUUACUGACGCUGAGGAGCGAAAGCGUGGGGAGCAAACAGG